CGUCUGUGUCCCAGGGGGCGGGUAGGACCCACAGAAGUGUCCGUCUGUGUCCCAGGGGGCGGGUAGGACCCACAGAAGUGUCCGUCUGUGUCCCAGGGGGCGGGUAGGACCCACAGAAGUGUCCGUCUGUGUCCCAGGGGGCGGGUAGGACCCACAGAAGUGUCCGUCUGUGUCCCAGGGGGCGGGUAGGACCCACAGAAGUGUCCGUCUGUGUCCCAGGGGGCGGGUAGGACCCACAGAAGUGUCCGUCUGUGUCCCAGGGGGCGGGUAGGACCCACAGAAGUGUCCGUCUGUGUCCCAGGGGGCGGGUAGGACCCACAGAAGUGUCCGUCUGUGUCCCAGGGGGCGGGUAGGACCCACAGAAGUGUCCGUCUGUGUCCCAGGGGGCGGGUAGGACCCACAGAAGUGUCCCUCUGUGUCCCAGGAGGCGGGUAGGACCCACAGAAGUGUCCGUCUGUGUCCCAGGGGGCGGGUAGGACCCACAGAAGUGUCCCUCUGUGUCCCAGGAGGUGGGUAGGACCCACAGAAGUGUCUGUCUGUGUCCCAGGGGGCGGGUAGGACCCACAGAAGUGUCGACUUACUCUGGGGGCUGGAGCGGGGCUGCAGUGUGUUCAGAAGCAGAAAAUGUAGACCAGUCCUGGCCUCAUUCAUGCCAGACUCCAUGCAGGGGCCCCUCCUCAUGAAGCCCCAGGAGGGUCUUGUCCACCCUCAGGGAGGCUGAAGCCAGACCACACCCCUGAGAGUGUCCCGAAGCCCUUGCCUCCCCGGGGAAACUGCUCCCCAACCCCAUCUCCCUAGGAUCAUCAAUCUGUAAACUGCAGAGACGCCUGAAAGACUUCGCAGUGGUGAGUGUGACAAACACAUGCAUAAGAUUCCAAAAGAAAAAG
This 887-nucleotide long non-coding RNA is filed under the name Homo sapiens (human). RNAcentral describes it as "non-protein coding lnc-PTP4A3-2:4". Lineage: Eukaryota; Metazoa; Chordata; Mammalia; Primates; Hominidae. The record is from RNAcentral.